Molecule: ribosomal RNA, 468 nt
Filed under: uncultured bacterium
Lineage: Bacteria
Description: bacterial SSU rRNA
Rfam family: Bacterial small subunit ribosomal RNA
Source: RNAcentral
AGGCCAGACUCCUACGGGAGGCAGCAGUGAGGAAUAUUGGUCAAUGGGCGGGAGCCUGAACCAGCCAAGUCGCGUGAGGGAAGACGGUCCUAUGGAUUGUAAACCUCUUUUGUCGGGGAGCAAAGAGGCCUCGUGAGGUCAAAAGCGAGAGUACCCGAAGAAAAAGCAUCGGCUAACUCCGUGCCAGCAGCCGCGGUAAUACGGAGGAUGCGAGCGUUAUCCGGAUUUACUGGGUGUAAAGGGAGCGUAGACGGCCAUGCAAGUCUGAUGUGAAAACCCGGGGCUCAACCCCGGGACUGCAUUGGAAACUGUGCGGCUGGAGUGUCGGAGAGGCAAGUGGAAUUCCUAGUGUAGCGGUGAAAUGCGUAGAUAUUAGGAGGAACACCAGUGGCGAAGGCGACUUGCUGGACGACGACUGACGUUGAGGCUCGAAAGCGUGGGGAGCAAACAGGAUUAGAUCCCCCCGUA